CUUUCCUGCCAUCACUAGAUCUUGAACACCUUGUCUGACUUCAGAAGCUAAGCAGGGUCAGUUCUGAUUACUACUUGGAUGGGUGACCGCUAGACACUAUCCAGGUC
RNAcentral lists this ribosomal RNA (107 nucleotides) under Pogona vitticeps (central bearded dragon). Lineage: Eukaryota; Metazoa; Chordata; Lepidosauria; Squamata; Agamidae. The record is from RNAcentral.